Long non-coding RNA from Myotis myotis, 1733 nucleotides. RefSeq lists it as uncharacterized. The transcript has 3 exons. Lineage: Eukaryota; Metazoa; Chordata; Mammalia; Chiroptera; Vespertilionidae. The record is from RefSeq and is a predicted model, not a curated record.
CUGCUGACAAUAGUGCCCUAGUUCCAGAAUAGUUGCAUCUAGAAAUUUUAAAUAAAUAUGGUUUGAUUUGUCACUUCUUUUGAUUUUAUUUUCUUUUGUUUGAUAUGUAAUUAGUGAGCUGAAGUUUUGUUUUUGGUAAGGCCUACCAUUCUUUACUGCAUGGCAUAUGUUCAUCAAAUAAUUGGUAAACUUAGGAUAAUGAUUUUGACAGGUAGGUAUUACAAACUGCUUAGAGCUAUGAUUCCUCCCUCCUGUUUUCUUUGGGUAGGUAGAAGUAUGCAAGAAAGUGAAUAUACCUUUUGAAAUGGUUGUUGCCGAAUCUUGAGAAAGAGUCAAGGUGGCCAGAGAUAAUCGAUGUAUAUGGAGUGGAGUUGCCAAGUCAUUCUUUGCCUAUAAGUCCUCUCAUCCAACCAAGGGAGUUGUUUCCCCUGCCCCAACCUUUUGGGACGAAUUUGUGGAUUUCAAAAAUAUAAUAUUCAUAGAAGGUCAAACUUAUGUUGCAUUUAUUCUUGUUUGGGGAACUACAUGAAUUCUUUUUAUUAUUCUGUGAUGCUUUCACUGACCAUUCCAAUUCAAAGCAGACUUUUUCUUUCUAUGUAUUCAUCUUAUUUGCCCUAAUCAUUUGGUUUUACCCCAAAAUACAAAGCUAUAUUUAUAUCUUUAUUUUAUGUCUCUUUCAUUAUAUAAUCCAAACUUGGGAGUAGGGAUCUUGCCUUUAUAUAUCUUGCAUAAUUUUCUGUGUGGUGUUUUGGACAAAGGAGUUUAGGAACUUAACAGUAGUCUAGUCCAAUCUGCUUAUUCUGUAGAUAGAAAACUCAUAGUUUGUUGCUCGAUUUGAUGCACAUUUAGUAUUUACAUGCAUACCAGUAUAGCAUGAAUAUAAUAAACCUUGAAUUAGGGUGUAAUUUCAUUUGAAACUAACAAAAAGUCUUAGAAUGGAGGACUUUCAGGCCACCACUACCACAACAAUAUUUCUAUUGCCCUUCAUAGUUUACAGAGCUCUUUUACAUAUAUGAUUUUGUUAUAUCCUCAGAUCCUCAGAAAUUCUUUGAGGUAGAGAGGUGAUUUUAUUGUUGCCAUAAUUAAAUAAUGAUACUAAGACCCAAAGAACCAACUUGCUAAUAAUUGAUAGAGCUGAGGCUGUAACCUAAGACUUUGAAUUCCAAGUGUUGUAUGUGUCCUAUUAUAUCAGGUUGCUUCUAGAUUAUCUAUCCAGUCCUGUUGUUAGUGGACAAGAUUUCCUUUCAAUAAAUCAGUCAUUCAAUAAGUGUUGACUGAAUGCUGGGGUUGUAAUACAGAGCACAUUUUCAGCUGCAUUUGGGAAAAUAAGACUCCUAUAGCAUUUGUUCUUACACAAAUAUAUACCCACUUACACAAGUACUCACCUAUUUAUUAUAACAGUUAUCACAUUGAAUUGUAACUUGUCUUUUUUACAUGUCUGUCUCCCCAACCAGAUUGUGUGCUUCUUGAGAAUCCUCUGAUUAUUCUGUGAGCUCCUUUGUAUCCUCAAUGCCAAAUACAGACUCUGGCACAUAGGUGCCUAGUUUGUUCAGUUAAUGAAUGAAUAAUUCUGUGAAUACAGACAUGAAAGACAUUUGCCCUCUGGGGGCUUACAAGUCUUCUUGGGGAGAUAAAGCAUGAAGUUUACAAUAAAUACAAAGAUUUUUAAAAAGCAAAUUGUUUUUUUUUUUUUAAGAGAAACUUUGUUUAUAGGGUUUGUUUUUUUUUAACUA